This 307-nucleotide ribosomal RNA is filed under the name uncultured bacterium. RNAcentral's name for it is "bacterial SSU rRNA". It matches the Rfam family "Bacterial small subunit ribosomal RNA", at positions 28 to 334 of the family's 1533-position model. The record is from RNAcentral.
GAUGAACGCUACGCGGGAGGCCUAACACAUGCAAGCCGAGCGGUAGAGAGUCUUUCGGGAUCGUUGAGAGCGGCGUACGGGUGCGGAACACGUGUGCAACCUGCCUUUAUCAGGGGGAUAGCCUUUCGAAAGGAAGAUUAAUACCCCAUAAUAUAAGAAACGGCAUCGUUUUUUAUUGAAAACUCCGGUGGAUAGAGAUGGGCACGCGCAAGAUUAGAUAGUUGGUGAGGUAACGGCUCACCAAGUCUACGAUCUUUAGGGGGCCUGAGAGGUUGAUCCCCCACACUGGUACUGAGACACGGACCAG